This 412-nucleotide small RNA is filed under the name uncultured Glomus. Its description in RNAcentral is "SSU rRNA". It matches the Rfam family "Eukaryotic small subunit ribosomal RNA", at positions 569 to 986 of the family's 1831-position model. The record is from RNAcentral. Lineage: Eukaryota; Fungi; Glomeromycota; Glomeromycetes; Glomerales; Glomeraceae.
CGCAGCCGCGGUAAUUCCAGCUCCAAUAGCGUAUAUUAAAGUUGUUGCAGUUAAAAAGCUCGUAGUUGAAUUUCGGGGUCAGUAGAUUGGUCGUGCCACUGGUAUGUACUGGUCUUACUGGCUCCUCCUUCCUGAUGAACCGUAAUGCCAUUAAUUUGGUGUUGCGGGGAGACUGGACUGUUACUUUGAAAAAUUAGAGUGUUUAAAGCAGGCUAACGCUUGAAUACAUUAGCAUGGAAUAAUGAAAUAGGACGUUCGAUCUUAUUUUGUUGGUUUCUAAGAUUGACGUAAUGAUUAAUAGGGAUAGUUGGGGGCAUUAGUAUUCAAUUGUCAGAGGUGAAAUUCUUGGAUUUAUUGAAGACUAACUACUGCGAAAGCAUUUGCCAAGGAUGUUUUCAUUAAUCAAGAACGA